RNAcentral lists this ribosomal RNA (2172 nucleotides) under Escherichia coli. Its description in RNAcentral is "partial 23S ribosomal RNA". It matches the Rfam family "Bacterial large subunit ribosomal RNA", at positions 711 to 2861 of the family's 2925-position model. Lineage: Bacteria; Pseudomonadati; Pseudomonadota; Gammaproteobacteria; Enterobacterales; Enterobacteriaceae. The record is from RNAcentral.
AGACCCGAAACCCGGUGAUCUAGCCAUGGGCAGGUUGAAGGUUGGGUAACACUAACUGGAGGACCGAACCGACUAAUGUUGAAAAAUUAGCGGAUGACUUGUGGCUGGGGGUGAAAGGCCAAUCAAACCGGGAGAUAGCUGGUUCUCCCCGAAAGCUAUUUAGGUAGCGCCUCGUGAAUUCAUCUCCGGGGGUAGAGCACUGUUUCGGCAAGGGGGUCAUCCCGACUUACCAACCCGAUGCAAACUGCGAAUACCGGAGAAUGUUAUCACGGGAGACACACGGCGGGUGCUAACGUCCGUCGUGAAGAGGGAAACAACCCAGACCGCCAGCUAAGGUCCCAAAGUCAUGGUUAAGUGGGAAACGAUGUGGGAAGGCCCAGACAGCCAGGAUGUUGGCUUAGAAGCAGCCAUCAUUUAAAGAAAGCGUAAUAGCUCACUGGUCGAGUCGGCCUGCGCGGAAGAUGUAACGGGGCUAAACCAUGCACCGAAGCUGCGGCAGCGACACUGUGUGUUGUUGGGUAGGGGAGCGUUCUGUAAGCCUGUGAAGGUGUGCUGUGAGGCAUGCUGGAGGUAUCAGAAGUGCGAAUGCUGACAUAAGUAACGAUAAAGCGGGUGAAAAGCCCGCUCGCCGGAAGACCAAGGGUUCCUGUCCAACGUUAAUCGGGGCAGGGUGAGUCGACCCCUAAGGCGAGGCCGAAAGGCGUAGUCGAUGGGAAACAGGUUAAUAUUCCUGUACUUGGUGUUACUGCGAAGGGGGGACGGAGAAGGCUAUGUUGGCCGGGCGACGGUUGUCCCGGUUUAAGCGUGUAGGCUGGUUUUCCAGGCAAAUCCGGAAAAUCAAGGCUGAGGCGUGAUGACGAGGCACUACGGUGCUGAAGCAACAAAUGCCCUGCUUCCAGGAAAAGCCUCUAAGCAUCAGGUAACAUCAAAUCGUACCCCAAACCGACACAGGUGGUCAGGUAGAGAAUACCAAGGCGCUUGAGAGAACUCGGGUGAAGGAACUAGGCAAAAUGGUGCCGUAACUUCGGGAGAAGGCACGCUGAUAUGUAGGUGAAGUCCCUCGCGGAUGGAGCUGAAAUCAGUCGAAGAUACCAGCUGGCUGCAACUGUUUAUUAAAAACACAGCACUGUGCAAACACGAAAGUGGACGUAUACGGUGUGACGCCUGCCCGGUGCCGGAAGGUUAAUUGAUGGGGUCAGCGCAAGCGAAGCUCUUGAUCGAAGCCCCGGUAAACGGCGGCCGUAACUAUAACGGUCCUAAGGUAGCGAAAUUCCUUGUCGGGUAAGUUCCGACCUGCACGAAUGGCGUAAUGAUGGCCAGGCUGUCUCCACCCGAGACUCAGUGAAAUUGAACUCGCUGUGAAGAUGCAGUGUACCCGCGGCAAGACGGAAAGACCCCGUGAACCUUUACUAUAGCUUGACACUGAACAUUGAGCCUUGAUGUGUAGGAUAGGUGGGAGGCUUUGAAGUGUGGACGCCAGUCUGCAUGGAGCCGACCUUGAAAUACCACCCUUUAAUGUUUGAUGUUCUAACGUGGACCCGUGAUCCGGGUUGCGGACAGUGUCUGGUGGGUAGUUUGACUGGGGCGGUCUCCUCCUAAAGAGUAACGGAGGAGCACGAAGGUUGGCUAAUCCUGGUCGGACAUCAGGAGGUUAGUGCAAUGGCAUAAGCCAGCUUGACUGCGAGCGUGACGGCGCGAGCAGGUGCGAAAGCAGGUCAUAGUGAUCCGGUGGUUCUGAAUGGAAGGGCCAUCGCUCAACGGAUAAAAGGUACUCCGGGGAUAACAGGCUGAUACCGCCCAAGAGUUCAUAUCGACGGCGGUGUUUGGCACCUCGAUGUCGGCUCAUCACAUCCUGGGGCUGAAGUAGGUCCCAAGGGUAUGGCUGUUCGCCAUUUAAAGUGGUACGCGAGCUGGGUUUAGAACGUCGUGAGACAGUUCGGUCCCUAUCUGCCGUGGGCGCUGGAGAACUGAGGGGGGCUGCUCCUAGUACGAGAGGACCGGAGUGGACGCAUCACUGGUGUUCGGGUUGUCAUGCCAAUGGCACUGCCCGGUAGCUAAAUGCGGAAGAGAUAAGUGCUGAAAGCAUCUAAGCACGAAACUUGCCCCGAGAUGAGUUCUCCCUGACCCUUUAAGGGUCCUGAAGGAACGUUGAAGACGACGACGUUGAUAGGC